UGGGAUGUGGCUCAAGUGGUAGUGCGCUCGCCUGGCAUACGUGCGGCCUGGGUUCGAUCCUCAGCACCCCAU
RNAcentral lists this transfer RNA (72 nucleotides) under Marmota monax (woodchuck). It matches the Rfam family "tRNA". Rfam says of the family: Transfer RNA (tRNA) molecules are approximately 80 nucleotides in length. Their secondary structure includes four short double-helical elements and three loops (D, anti-codon, and T loops). The record is from Rfam by way of RNAcentral. Lineage: Eukaryota; Metazoa; Chordata; Mammalia; Rodentia; Sciuridae.